Non-coding RNA from Gossypium arboreum, 107 nucleotides. NCBI's taxonomy places the organism in Eukaryota, Viridiplantae, Streptophyta, Magnoliopsida, Malvales, Malvaceae. The record is from Rfam.
GACCCAUGAUGAGGGAACCAUAUCAAUAAAUCCUUGUAUUUCUUCUAUGCAUCAUAUAAAGUCUCUAAAUUGAUCUGAACAAAGGAAGAGAUCUCAUUCCUCAACUU